RNAcentral lists this ribosomal RNA (403 nucleotides) under uncultured bacterium. RNAcentral's name for it is "partial 16S ribosomal RNA". It matches the Rfam family "Bacterial small subunit ribosomal RNA", at positions 30 to 526 of the family's 1533-position model. The record is from RNAcentral.
AUUGAACGCUGGCGGCAGGCCUAACACAUGCAAGUCGAGCGAGCGGCGGACGGGUGAGUAAUGUGGGGGGCCUGCCCGAUAGAGGGGGAUCACUACUGGAAACGGUGGCUAAUACCGCAUACUAUCAUGUAACCCAUAUGGGAUGAGCUAGUAGGUGGGGUAAAGGCUCACCUAGGCGACGAUCUCUCGCUGGUCUGAGGGGAUGAUCAGCCACACUGGGACUGAGACACGGCCCAGACUCCUACGGAGGCAGCAGUGGGGAAUAUUGCACAAUGGGCGCAAGCCUGAUGCAGCCAUGCCGCGUGUAUGAAGAAGGCCUUAGGGUUGUAAAGUACUUUUAGCGGGGAGGCGUUACCCGCAGAAGAAGCACCGGCUAACUCCGUGCCAGCAGCCGCGGUAAUUC